UACGUAGGGGGCUAGCGUUGCCCGGAAUCACUGGGCGUAAAGGGUGCGUAGGCGGGUCUUUAAGUUAGGGGGGAAAUCCUGGAGCUCAACUCCAGAACUGCCUUUGAUACUGAAGAUCUUGAGUGCGGGAGAGGUGAGUGGAACUGCGAGUGUAGAGGUGAAAUUCGUAGAUAUUCGCAAGAACACCAGUGGCGAAGGCGGCUCACUGGCCCGAUACUGACGCUGAGGCACGAAAGCGUGGGGAGCAAACAGG
RNAcentral lists this ribosomal RNA (253 nucleotides) under uncultured bacterium. RNAcentral's name for it is "partial 16S ribosomal RNA". It matches the Rfam family "Bacterial small subunit ribosomal RNA", at positions 524 to 776 of the family's 1533-position model. The record is from RNAcentral.